UCACAUCACUGUAUGAACGACUGAAGUCGGCAAACUAGCGUAGUCACCCGGUUAGCUAGUUAAUAACACACUUGGACCAAAACGGAGCCACCUACCACGUGACGGCCGCACUAUCCGAGGGAAUUUCGACAACGAUUCCUCACACGUUUCGGUCAAAUAUAUGUAAAGAUGUGACUACAGCACGAAAUGAACAGGCUUCUCAAGCGUUGCCGAUGACGUUGCCAUGGAGAAACACACGGAAGAUGGCGGCUUGUUCGUCUCCCUCCCUGUGAAAUACAGAUGCAGCGAGGCGGGAGACAUUAUCAAGAGGAGCCGUUCAUCGAAGGGCCACAAGGGGGAGCCUCGACGCAAACUGACGAAGUCGUUUAUUAUUGCCCUCAUUAUGUAAUUUUCAUUUGUUGUAUCAACUAUUCAGUUUGCAGUUUUACAAUCAAAUCUAAUGGCUAAUAAUGUGAAAUUGAAUAAUACAAAUAUGUUUAAAAUUACAAUUUUUGCUUAGGUUGUCCGAUUAGCAACAUUUGCAUAGAUUAUGCACUUCUUAUAUUUGCACAUUACAAAUAUAUCUACAAAAUGUAAUAAAACCGUUUUGCAAUUAAACAAA
Molecule: long non-coding RNA, 601 nt
Organism: Electrophorus electricus (electric eel)
Lineage: Eukaryota; Metazoa; Chordata; Actinopteri; Gymnotiformes; Gymnotidae
Source: RefSeq, a predicted model, not a curated record